Brassica oleracea var. oleracea is the source of this 1372-nucleotide long non-coding RNA. RefSeq lists it as uncharacterized. The record is from RefSeq and is a predicted model, not a curated record. NCBI's taxonomy places the organism in Eukaryota, Viridiplantae, Streptophyta, Magnoliopsida, Brassicales, Brassicaceae. The transcript has 6 exons.
UUCAUGUUGCGUUCGUAUACGGCCCGACGACCACAAGCUUCUACUGAAACCCUAAUCAGCCUCUACGCUCUCCUUCGUGUUCUUUGCUCACCUUCGAUCGGCGCAGAUGCGAUCCAGAAUCUGUAACGGUUCUCCGAGAGUUAAUGGUCUUAAAUCGUCUUCAAUCGCCAUCCCACUACGAAGCUCUCUCCUGCGCCGUUCGGCUGCUAAAACGUGUAUAAAUAUGCUGCAAUCUCACCGAGGACAUCAAGGAGAAGAUUCCCUAUGUGGCGUUGGAUUAUGAGCAGGAGGUUGAGACAGCCAAAUCAAGCUCUGCAAUCAAGGUAAUGUUAUGUGAGACUUUCAAGAUGGAGCAUCCUAAGGAACAAAUAUACUGCUGCUUGGAUGCUUGAUGUGAGUGGCUCCUUCUCACCUUGCAGGUUCUUUUGUAACUUAGCCUCUUGAUCUUAAAGGCACACUGAAGUUGAAUUUUAAUCCAAAACCAGGUUAGAAUGUUUCCUGGUUAGAAUGUUUACUGGAGACAAUGCUAUACUUCCUCUCAGCACAUACUCAUAAUUGUUUUAUUAUCUCAGUUGACAUGUUCUUAAACUAACUGUAAUACUUGCAUUUCACACUAAUUCAGAAGGCACUUUAUGUUGCAAAAGUUGAAGAACAUGAAAAACUACAACAAUUACCUGGAGGAAGGUCGGAGUGAAGAUGAGGCCGUUCAGUUUUAUUUUCAGAGGUUAACAAUGACAACGAUGCUUAGGAGGGUAGUUAAGAGGAUGGAAGCUAAUGACUAAGAAGUUGAAGUUUGUAGCAUGAGUAAAUCUCUCUGCUUUAAAAAAAAAAAGGUUUUCUCAAAUGUUUAUGGAGCUGAUGUCUUUCUUUUUCUUUUUUCCUGCUUUUGUACUUCCACAAUACAUAUUUUAAAACUAUCUCAAAAGACUCAGGGAUUUCAGAAUAUUACAGACAAGUUCAUGGAGCUUAGUACUAAGUUACUAACAGCAAGAUCUGCCAGCUGAGCUUUGUUGUGUUACUGGAGGAUCAAGAAGUCAACAAGAUGAUGCUCUUUAUUGGUGUAAUGUAGAAUACAUUCUUCCUGGCGAAGUCAAGUUGUUGUGAAAGACAUUCUCAAGUUCGUGGAAAAUAUUUGAUUGAGCAUGUUGAAAACCCCAAGAUGCUGUUGAGAAGACAACUAUUUAGUAUGUAUCAGAUAUUCAGAUGGAGAAGAAGUCAAGGAUGGAACUUUCAGACAUGAAACAAUAUUGAUUACUAUGUACCCACACAAUACCAAUCUUUUUUUUUUGUGUACCAAUUAUAUGUAUGUAUGUAUGUUGGGUAGUACCUAAAAAUUUGAUACUAAAAUAUUAUACAGAUCUUUUAUAUAAUA